AAGACUAUACUUCACAGGAUCAUUUCUGUAGUCAGUCUUCUUUAUUUUUCAUUGCAAAAUGAAAAAUUUCGCGCCCGCGAUGAGGAGGUAUAUCGUUUUAUCUGUAGCGUGAGGUUUUGAACUUUGUCUUUUUUAAGUUUGACUUUGGGACAAUGUUUCAUCGAUGAUCGCUCGGUUAUAACGGAUAAAACGACUUCUGAGUGGA
This is a small nucleolar RNA of Lucilia cuprina (Australian sheep blowfly), 205 nucleotides long. RefSeq annotates it as small nucleolar RNA U3. Lineage: Eukaryota; Metazoa; Arthropoda; Insecta; Diptera; Calliphoridae. The transcript has a single exon. The record is from RefSeq and is a predicted model, not a curated record.